Long non-coding RNA from Homo sapiens (human), 1519 nucleotides. Ensembl annotates it as arylacetamide deacetylase pseudogene 1. Its record names the gene AADACP1. Lineage: Eukaryota; Metazoa; Chordata; Mammalia; Primates; Hominidae. The record is from Ensembl.
AAGUAUUUGCUGUGUUGCCAAAGUAGAAAGAGCAGAAGGGAAACAUCAUGGGAAGAAAGACUAUUUUGUUUCUGAUUGCAGGGGUCCUUGGGGCAUAUUAUGUUUAUACUCCUCUCUCAGAUAAUAUUGAGGAACUCUGGUGACUGGUGUGGAUAGCUACACCUGUGAAAAUGGUAACAAAUUUGGCUUUGUUAGUUGAACUCUUGGGAAUCAAUCAUUUCAUGAAUACUGCAACGUUCUUUGUGAGCUUUCAAGAAGUCCCACCUACAUCUGAUGAAAAUGUCACCAUGAUAGAGACAACUUUCAGUAACAUUCCUGUCCGUGUAUACAUGCCAACACUAAAGUCAGAGAUACUAAGAACGGGCUUAGUUUAUAUUCAUGGUGGUGGUUGGUGUAUGGGGGAUGCUGCUUUGUUUAAUUAUGACUUUCUGUCAAGAUGAACAGCUGAUAGACUUAAUGCUGUUGUUGUAUCAACCAACUCAUAGAAGACCCAGAUGUCAAGAUCAAACUCAAGCUUCAGUCUUUAAUAUAUCCUGCCCUUCAGACGCUUGACAUGGAUUUACUAUCACAUCAGAAAAAACUAGACUCUCUAGUUCUGUCCAAACCAUUCAUGGUCAGGUUCUGUAGGGAAUACUUUACCACAGACAGAUCACUUGAAAAAGUCAUGUUCUUCAACAUGUACCAAUGGAAUCAAACCAUCUGUUCAGAUUUGUUAAUUGGAGUUCCUUGCUCACUGAGAAGUUUAAGAAAGGCCACUUUUGUUAUAUUCCAACUCGUGGUAGUUCUGAGCUAGCUAAAAAAUAUCCAGGGUUCCUAGAUGUGAGGGCAGCCCCUUUGUUGGCCAAUGACAAGUUACAUGGUUUACCCCUGUCCUAUAUCAUCACCUGUCAAUAUGACAUCUUAAGAGAUGAUGGACUCAUGUACAUCACGCGACUUUAGAACUCUGGAGUUCAAGUGACACAUAACCACAGUGAAGAUGGAUUCCAUGGAGCACUUUCCUAUAAUGGGCUUAAAAUUGAGUAUGGAAUAGAAAAUCAGUAUAUGAGUUGGCUAAGUGAAAAUCUAUAGUAAAAAUGUAAGCAAUGGUUUAUUUAAAAUGUAUAAGGCUCAGAACAGGAAACAAAUUAGUGAAAAUCAAAGGGUUGAUGUUUGAAUUGGUCUUUAUCAUCUGUGACCUUUCUAAGGUCCUCAUAGCCAUAGUGGGUUUUGGUUUUGUUUUUAUUUAUUGGCCGCUAGCAAAUUCUUCUCCAUUUUAUUUAUUAUCCUGUUAUUCACUCACUUCUGUGAAGAUACUUUAGUAUUUUCUUCUGCUACCAUUACUCACUUGUUAAAUCUCUAGUUUACAGCUAUAGUUUUUUGAUUGCCGAAUAGUAUUACAGAUGAGAAGAAAGUUUUAAACAAACACGUCUGAUUUGUAAAAUGCCAGUUUUAGUCAACAUGAAUUUAGAGACUUAAAAUGUUUCCCUGUGAGAACUGAUAUGAAAUAUGUGCCAUCUCUUUUAAAAAGCAUUUGCCUCAA